GGAAGCGUGCCAGAGUGGUUGAAUGGGCCGCACUCGAAAUGCGGUUUCGCCUUUACCGGCGAACGGAGGUUCGAAUCCUCCCGCUUCCG
This 89-nucleotide transfer RNA is filed under the name bacterium. RNAcentral's name for it is "tRNA-Ser". It matches the Rfam family "tRNA". From Rfam's summary of the family: Transfer RNA (tRNA) molecules are approximately 80 nucleotides in length. Their secondary structure includes four short double-helical elements and three loops (D, anti-codon, and T loops). The record is from RNAcentral.